RNAcentral lists this ribosomal RNA (301 nucleotides) under uncultured bacterium. RNAcentral describes it as "partial 16S ribosomal RNA". It matches the Rfam family "Bacterial small subunit ribosomal RNA", at positions 509 to 809 of the family's 1533-position model. The record is from RNAcentral.
CAGCAGCCGCGGUAAUACGUAGGGUGCAAGCGUUAAUCGGAAUUACUGGGCGUAAAGCGUGCGCAGGCGGUUGUGUAAGACAGGUGUGAAAUCCCCGGGCUUAACCUGGGAAUUGCAUUUGUGACUGCACGACUAGAGUGUGUCAGAGGGGGGUGGAAUUCCACGUGUAGCAGUGAAAUGCGUAGAUAUGUGGAGGAACACCAAUGGCGAAGGCAGCCCCCUGGGAUAACACUGACGCUCAUGCACGAAAGCGUGGGGAGCAAACAGGAUUAGAUACCCGUGUAGUCCCUGUCUCUUAUAA